GAUGAACGCUAGCUACAGGCUUAACACAUGCAAGUCGCGGGGCAGCAUGGGGGUUGCUUGCAAUCCCCGAUGGCGACCGGCGCACGGGUGAGUAACGCGUAUCCAACCUGCCCUUCACCACGGGAUAACCCGGCGAAAGUCGGACUAAUACCGUAUGUUGUCCAUUGACGGCAUCCGAUUUGGACGAAAGGCUUGGCGGUGAGGGAUGGGGAUGCGUCCGAUUAGCCAGACGGCGGGGUAACGGCCCACCGUGGCUACGAUCGGUAGGGGUUCUGAGGGGAAGGUCCCCCACACUGGAACUGAGACACGGUCCAGACUCCUACGGGAGGCAGCAGUGAGGAAUAUUGGUCAAUGGGCGUAAGCCUGAACCAGCCAAGUAGCGUGCAGGAUGACGGCCCUAUGGGUUGUAAACUGCUUUUAUGCGGGGAUAAAGUGGCCCACGUGUGGGCUUUUGCAGGUACCGCAUGAAUAAGGACCGGCUAAUUCCGUG
Molecule: ribosomal RNA, 490 nt
Filed under: uncultured bacterium
Lineage: Bacteria
Description: partial 16S ribosomal RNA
Rfam family: Bacterial small subunit ribosomal RNA
Source: RNAcentral